This 546-nucleotide ribosomal RNA is filed under the name uncultured bacterium. RNAcentral's name for it is "bacterial SSU rRNA". It matches the Rfam family "Bacterial small subunit ribosomal RNA", at positions 62 to 597 of the family's 1533-position model. The record is from RNAcentral.
CCGAGUGCUUGCACUCAAUUGGAAAGAGGAGUGGCGGACGGGUGAGUAACACGUGGGUAACCUACCCAUCAGAGGGGGAUAACACUUGGAAACAGGUGCUAAUACCGCAUAACAGUUUAUGCCGCAUGGCAUAAGAGUGAAAGGCGCUUUCGGGUGUCGCUGAUGGAUGGACCCGCGGUGCAUUAGCUAGUUGGUGAGGUAACGGCUCACCAAGGCCACGAUGCAUAGCCGACCUGAGAGGGUGAUCGGCCACACUGGGACUGAGACACGGCCCAGACUCCUACGGGAGGCAGCAGUAGGGAAUCUUCGGCAAUGGACGAAAGUCUGACCGAGCAACGCCGCGUGAGUGAAGAAGGUUUUCGGAUCGUAAAACUCUGUUGUUAGAGAAGAACAAGGACGUUAGUAACUGAACGUCCCCUGACGGUAUCUAACCAGAAAGCCACGGCUAACUACGUGCCAGCAGCCGCGGUAAUACGUAGGUGGCAAGCGUUGUCCGGAUUUAUUGGGCGUAAAGCGAGCGCAGGCGGUUUCUUAAGUCUGAUGUGA